This 881-nucleotide ribosomal RNA is filed under the name uncultured archaeon. Its description in RNAcentral is "bacterial SSU rRNA". It matches the Rfam family "Archaeal small subunit ribosomal RNA", at positions 21 to 903 of the family's 1478-position model. The record is from RNAcentral.
AGGCUACCGCUAUUGGAGUUCGAUUAAGCCAUGCGAGUCGCGAGUCUUAGGGACUCGGCGUACCGCUCAGUAACACGUGGGUAACCUGCCCUAUGCUGGGGGAUAACCUCGGGAAACUGAGAAUAAUACCCCAUAGUUCACCAUGCCUGGAACGGUGGGUGGACCAAAUGCUCCGGCGGCAUAGGAUGGGCCUGCGGCGUAUCAGGUUGUAGGGGGUGUAAUGUACCCUCUAGCCCUCUACGCGUACGGGUGUUGAGAGACAUCGCCCGGAGAUGGAUUCUGAGACACGAAUCCAGACCCUACGGGGUGCAGCAGGCGCGAAAACUUGGCAAUGCGAGAAAUCGUGACCAGGGAACUCCAAGUGCAUCGGGUAAGACCGAUGCUUUUCUUGACUCUUCAAAGGUCUUGGAAUAAGGGGUGGGUAAGGACCGGUGCCAGCCGCCGCGGUAAUACCGGCGCCCCAAGUGGUAGUCGCUUUUAUUGGGCCUAAAACGUCCGUAGCCGGUCUGGUACAUUCGUGGGUAAAUCAACCAGCUCAACUGGUUGAAUUCUGCGAGCACGGCCAGACUUGGGGACCGGGAGAGGUGUGGGGUACUCUCAGGGUAGGGGUAAAAUCCUGUCAUCCUGAGAGGAACCACCUGUUGCGAAGGCGCCACACUAGAACGGAUCCGGCGGUCAGGGACGAAGCCUAGGGGCACGAACCGGAUUAGAUACCCGGGUAGUCCUAGGUGUAAACGCUGUGGACUUGAUGUUGGGGGCGCUCCGAGCGCACUCAGUGUCGAAGCGAAGGUGAUAAGUCCACUGCCUGGGGAGUACGGUCGCAAGGCUGAAACUUAAAGGAAUUGGCGGGGGAGCACCGCAACCUGAGGAUUGUGCGGUUU